This 253-nucleotide ribosomal RNA is filed under the name uncultured bacterium. RNAcentral's name for it is "partial 16S ribosomal RNA". It matches the Rfam family "Bacterial small subunit ribosomal RNA", at positions 524 to 776 of the family's 1533-position model. The record is from RNAcentral.
UACGUAGGGGGCUAGCGUUGUCCGGAAUCAUUGGGCGUAAAGCGCGCGUAGGCGGCCCGGUAAGUCCGUUGUGAAAGUCAAAGGCUCAACCUUUGAAAGCCGAUGGAUACUGCCGGGCUGGAGUCCGGAAGAGGAGAGUGGAAUUCCUGGUGUAGCGGUGAAAUGCGCAGAUAUCAGGAAGAACACCAAUGGCGAAGGCAGCUCUCUGGGACGGUACUGACGCUGAGACGCGAAAGUGUGGGGAGCGAACAGG